RNAcentral lists this ribosomal RNA (824 nucleotides) under Stephanospora poropingao. Its description in RNAcentral is "eukaryotic LSU rRNA". It matches the Rfam family "Eukaryotic large subunit ribosomal RNA", at positions 72 to 878 of the family's 3401-position model. Lineage: Eukaryota; Fungi; Basidiomycota; Agaricomycetes; Agaricales; Stephanosporaceae. The record is from RNAcentral.
GGAUUCCCCUAGUAACUGCGAGUGAAGAGGGAAAAGCUCAAAUUUGAAAUCUGGUGGUUCUUGUGACCAUCCGAGUUGUAAUUUAGAGAAGUGUUACCCGCGCUGGACCGUGUACAAGUCUCCUCGAACGGAGCAUCAUAGAGGGUGAGAAUCCCGUAUAUGACACGGACUCCCAGGGCUUUGUGGUGCGCUCUCAACGAGUCGAGUUGUUUGGGAAUGCAGCUCUAAAUGGGUGGUAAAUUCCAUCUAAAGCUAAAUAUAGGCGAGAGACCGAUAGCGAACAAGUACCGUGAGGGAAAGAUGAAAAGAACUUUGGAAAGAGAGUUAAACAGUACGUGAAAUUGUUGAAAGGGAAACGCUUGAAGUCAGUCGCGUCUCUCAGAGAUCAACCUGGCCUUUUCGCUUGGUGCACUCUCUGUGGGAUGGGUCAGCAUCAAUUUUGACUGGGGGAAAAAGUUGGUGGGGAUGUGGCACCCUUGUGGUGUGUUAUAACCUGCUUGCAUAUACCUCUGUUGGGAUUGAGGAACUCAGCACGCCUAAAGGCCGGACUUUAGUCACGUACGUGCUUAGGAUGCUGGCAUAAUGUCUUCAAUCGACCCGUCUUGAAACACGGACCAAGGAGUCUAACAUGCGCGCGAGUGUUUGGGUGAAAAACCCAAGUGCAUAAUGAAAGUGAAAGUUGAGACCUCUGUCGUGGAGGGCAUCGACGCCCGGAUCAGAUCUUUUGGGACGAUUCCGAGGUAGAGCGUGCACGUUGGGACCCGAAAGAUGGUGAACUAUGCCUGAAUAGGGUGAAGCCAGAGGAAACUCUGGUGGAGGCUCGU